RNAcentral lists this transfer RNA (61 nucleotides) under Parabreviscolex niepini. Its description in RNAcentral is "tRNA-Glu". Lineage: Eukaryota; Metazoa; Platyhelminthes; Cestoda; Caryophyllidea; Caryophyllaeidae. The record is from RNAcentral.
UCUGAUUUAUUGUAUGAGCAUACUAGUUUUUCGGGCUAUUGGUGGGUUUGCCCAGUCAGAG